AUUGAACGCUGGCGGCAUGCUUUACACAUGCAAGUCGAACGGCAGCGCGGGCUUCGGCCUGGCGGCGAGUGGCGAACGGGUGAGUAAUGCAUCGGAACGUGCCCAGUAGUGGGGGAUAGCCUGGCGAAAGCCGGCUUAAUACCGCAUACGAUAUGAGGGUGAAACGGGGGGACCGAAAGGCCUCGCGCUUUUGGCGCGGCCGAUGUCGGAUUAGCUAGUUGGUUGGGUAAAGGCUUACCAAGGCGACGAUCCGUAGCUGAUCUGAGAGGCCGACCAGCCACACUGGAACUGAGACACGGCCCAGACUCCUACGGGAGGCAGCAGUGGGGAAUUUUGGACAAUGGGGGCAACCCUGAUCCAGCCAUGCCGCGUGCGGGAAGAAGGCCUUCGGAUUGUAAACCGCUUUUGUUCGGGAAGAAAUCCUCUGGGCUAAUACCCCGGGGGGAUGACGGUACCGGAAGAAUAAGCACCGGCUAACUACGUG
This 484-nucleotide ribosomal RNA is filed under the name uncultured bacterium. RNAcentral describes it as "partial 16S ribosomal RNA". It matches the Rfam family "Bacterial small subunit ribosomal RNA", at positions 29 to 507 of the family's 1533-position model. The record is from RNAcentral.